RNAcentral lists this transfer RNA (63 nucleotides) under Staphylinidae sp. BMNH 1274706. RNAcentral's name for it is "tRNA-Arg". The record is from RNAcentral. Lineage: Eukaryota; Metazoa; Arthropoda; Insecta; Coleoptera; Staphylinidae.
AAAUAAGAAACAAAAAUUUGUAUUUAGUUUCGACCUAAAAUUUUGGUUUAUAACCCUUAUUUA